GUGUAGCGGUUAGCAUGUCUGCUUUACACGCAGAAGGUUCUGGGUUCAUGCCCCAG
RNAcentral lists this transfer RNA (56 nucleotides) under Pteropus alecto (black flying fox). It matches the Rfam family "tRNA", at positions 10 to 63 of the family's 71-position model. Rfam says of the family: Transfer RNA (tRNA) molecules are approximately 80 nucleotides in length. The record is from Rfam by way of RNAcentral. Lineage: Eukaryota; Metazoa; Chordata; Mammalia; Chiroptera; Pteropodidae.